GCGCCUGUAGCUCAGUGGAUAGAGUGCAUGUUUCCUAAGUUGAAGGUUGUAGGUUCGAUCCCUACCUGGUGCG
Molecule: transfer RNA, 73 nt
Filed under: Nicotiana sylvestris (wood tobacco)
Lineage: Eukaryota; Viridiplantae; Streptophyta; Magnoliopsida; Solanales; Solanaceae
Rfam family: tRNA
About the family: Transfer RNA (tRNA) molecules are approximately 80 nucleotides in length. Their secondary structure includes four short double-helical elements and three loops (D, anti-codon, and T loops).
Source: Rfam by way of RNAcentral